Molecule: long non-coding RNA, 1832 nt
Organism: Megalops cyprinoides (Indo-Pacific tarpon)
Lineage: Eukaryota; Metazoa; Chordata; Actinopteri; Elopiformes; Megalopidae
Exons: 5
Source: RefSeq, a predicted model, not a curated record
GAGGAAAGCAAAAUUGCCACUCGACCGCCAUGUGCACUGUUGGAAGCUUGGAAGCUGUCCUCCUCGAAAAAUUUGCAGGCGAGACAAAAGAAAGCCUUGAAAAGGAAAGAGAAGCACUUACAUUAGAGGUGAAGAAGAAGAACAACCUUCAGCUAAUCAACUGUAAGAUGGAGAAAACCUUCGCCCAUAGGAGACGGGAGCUUAUUGAAGAUAUGCCCUUCACAGCUGAGUUCAGAAACAGAUGGCCAGCCCUAUUUUCUCAGAAUCAGGUAAAUGCAGAGUUUACCCGCAUUACAACAAUCCCCCUGCUGUCAACAUUUAUGGCUCAACUGGAUCAUUACUCCAGCCAACUGAUGAAGGUUUUCAAAAAGAAGGGAGGGGCAGCAGGACGCAAAAUCUGCGAGCUCAUGGUAGCCAUGGACCAGAAUCCAAGCAUUGAAGUAAGACGGGAAUGCAUACUGAAGGCAUUAUGCAUCUACUUAAAUGAAGAUCCUGACAACCUUGUUUAAGAACUAUAUGGAUGUUGGUGCAGUGGGAGAGAUGGAGAAAGUCGUUUUGGGUAUCUAUGUUGUGCUGCGAGAGGGAGCAGAGGCAACAGAUCCACCUGAGGAUGUUGGCGUCUUGGUUGAAGGAUGUACAGUGCUGCAAGACUUGAGAGAUGUGGCAAAUGGCUGUGCAGCCCUCUUUGGCUUGAUCUAUUGUUUAAACUUGAACUAUCCCAAAGACCUGCGAUACACUUUUGAGUUCCUUCAAAAAGUAGUGAUGGGAUUGGAUGGGAACAAGCUCUCCAAUAAGGUGCAAGUCCUCAAAAAUAAACUGCAUGAGUAAAUUGCCAUCAAGGAUUUGGAUUGGAUUUGUGCUGAUUGUUGUACAAGAGAAAAAGGAGCGCUUUGGACUGUGGACUGAUGCUGGACUCAACAGUUCAGAGUCAAGACAUUUUUUUUGUUGGUCUGUAAUUGUGUUUGAAACUUUCACCUGUGGUACAUUGAAUGUGGAGGUGCAAACAGUGCUCUGAGACUAUCUACGAUGUACCAGUUACUAAAACAUUACAAAUUGAAGCAUUAUCAUUUGGGUCAGAGACACUCAUAUCCAUGCACAUACUAUGAAUGCCCAUGCUCAUUCAAAACAUAUCUGAGUCAAUGUCAUGUUGAUGUGUCAAGUACUAGAAUUGCAGAACAAGGAGUUUGUAUAUGCCUUUUGUGCCCUGGAAGUGAAAUACCAUCCAGUAGAGAGUAUUUUUCUCACAUCAAUAAUCAUCUGAAGCAGUUGAAAUAGUGAAAGGUGGUACCGUAAAUUAUGACCAUCAUGCAUCUGAAGACCAUCCAGGGGAUCUUGUAGAAACUGCCUCAGACUUAGAUUGUCAUAAUUUGAUUUUCUUGCAAGUUCUCAUUUGGUAAUUGGCAACUGUUCUUUUGAAAGGUUUUUUCACAUGUGCCAUGUUCAGCAUUUGAUGGCUUGCUUGAGGAGUUGCAUUUCAUUUUGACCUCAGCAGCGCUGCCUAUAUCACAUAGUACAGGUUUUGACAUUUUCAGUAAACAUAUCUUUCAAGUUAACCAUUUUAUAGUUAACCAAAUGUUUAAGUUAUCUAUAAAACCUAUUUGGUUCAACAAAUGUUGACAGGUGUGGGGUUAAGAGUAAUGUGCAUUUUAUUACUCUGAUAUUACUCUGAUUUCCUAAUUUUCAGUUUUGUGACUGUGUAUACUGUGUAUAUAUAUGGAAUUAUACACAUUUUAUUUAUAAAAGCCCCAGUAUUUCCUAAUGAUUCCUAAUAAAGGUUCAAGUGAAAUUAAGCAAAUUAAAUUGUACUCAUUUAACUAUUUUAUUUAGCCAGU